GAUGAACGCUGGCGGCGUGCCUAAUACAUGCCAGUCGAGCGAACAGACGAGGAGCUUGCUCCUCUGACGUUAGCGGCGGACGGGUGAGUAACACGUGUAUAACCUACCUAUAAGUCUGGGAUAACUUCGGGAAACCGGCGCUAAUACCGUAUAAUAUAUUGAACCGCAUGGUUCAAUGGUGAAAGACGGUUUUUCUGUCACUUCUAGAUGGAUCCGCGCCGCAUUAGCUAGUUGGUAAGGUAACGGCUUACCAAGGCAACGAUGCGUAGCCGACCUGUGAGAGGGGUAGGCCACCCGGGAGCGGGACCGCGCUCCAGAGGCCUACGGGACGGCGCAGUAGGGAAUGUGCGGCAAUAGGGGGAAGCCUGACGGAACAAGGGCGAGUGAGAGAUAAAGGCCUUCGGAUCGUAAAAAUGUGUUACGGGGUAUAAACAAAUGUGUACGUAACCGAGGCGGUAGUGACGGUAACUAAUCAGAAAGCCACGGCUAACUACGUG
Molecule: ribosomal RNA, 497 nt
Filed under: uncultured bacterium
Lineage: Bacteria
Description: partial 16S ribosomal RNA
Rfam family: Bacterial small subunit ribosomal RNA
Source: RNAcentral